UACGUAGGGUGCGAGCGUUAAUCGGAAUUACUGGGCGUAAAGCGUAUGCAGGCGGAUCGUUAAGUCGGGGGUGAAAUCCCGAGGCUCAACCUCGGAACUGCCUUCGAUACUGGCGACCUUCGAGUCCGGGAGAGGUGAGUGGAACUCCGAGUGUAGAGGUGAAAUUCGUAGAUAUUGGGAGGAACACCAGUGGCGAAGGCGGCUCACUGGCCCGGUACUGACGCUGAGGUGCGAAAGCGUGGGGAGCAAACAGG
This 254-nucleotide ribosomal RNA is filed under the name uncultured bacterium. RNAcentral's name for it is "partial 16S ribosomal RNA". It matches the Rfam family "Bacterial small subunit ribosomal RNA", at positions 524 to 776 of the family's 1533-position model. The record is from RNAcentral.